GGGGUGCAGCAGGCGCGAAACCUCCGCAAUGUGAGAAAUCGCGACGGGGGGAUCCCAAGUGCCAUUCUUAACGGGAUGGCUUUUCAUUAGUGUAAAGAGCUUUUGGAAUAAGGGCUGGGCAAGACCGGCGCCAGCCGCCGCGGUAACACCGGCAGCUCUAGUGGUAGCAGUUUUUAUUGGGCCUAAAGCGUCCGUAGCCGGUUUAAUAAGUCUCUGGUGAAAUCCUGUAGCUUAACUGUGGGAAUUGCUGGAGAUACUAUUAGACUUGAGACCGGGAGAGGUUAGAGGUACUCCCAGGGUAGAGGUGAAAUUCUGUAAUCCUGGGAGGACCGCCUGUUGCGAAGGCGUCUAACUGGAACGGUUCUGACGGUGAGGGACGAAAGUUAGGGGCGCGAACCGGAUUAGAUACCCGGGUAGUCCUAACCGUAAACGAUGCGGACUUGGUGUUGGGGUGGCUUUGAGCUGCUCCAGUGCCGAAGGGAAGCUGUUAAGUCCGCCGCCUGGGAAGUACGGUCGCAAGACUGAAACUUAA
Molecule: ribosomal RNA, 532 nt
Filed under: uncultured archaeon
Lineage: Archaea
Description: bacterial SSU rRNA
Rfam family: Archaeal small subunit ribosomal RNA
Source: RNAcentral